ACCAGUGGAAGUCAGCAAGAAGAAUUCUGGAAAAUGUUCUCAGACUAAACGGCCCGACUGGACCUCAGGUUAGAACAUUCUGACUUUGAGAACAUAAACAGAAGGUUUCAGAUCCCUGUGACAGCUAACAAACACUGAAUAAAUGAAAGGCUUUCUCUAGAGCUGGUGUGUGUUUUGGCCGUUCUGGGCUACCGUAGAAACAUGGCGGACUCAGGAAGUGGACCAGCAGCUCAUUCUGACGAAACAACAACACAACAGUUCAGUUUCAGAUAAAACCAGACGCUGCUCUCUCCCUCAACACGACGUCCUCAUCACCGUCUGACCUUUGACCCCUUCACCAGCCCGCCUGCCUGAGGCACUGGUUGAAUUUAUGUUUGUUAUCACAACUUCCUGGAGGGACGGCCGAGCAAGCGUCAGACUAAAGUUCUGUCUCAGCAGCUUUAUGAUCAGACGGCGGAUCUUACGGUGGCGUAUCCGCAGGGCGUCUU
Acanthopagrus latus (yellowfin seabream) is the source of this 488-nucleotide long non-coding RNA. RefSeq lists it as uncharacterized. NCBI's taxonomy places the organism in Eukaryota, Metazoa, Chordata, Actinopteri, Spariformes, Sparidae. The transcript is spliced from 3 exons. The record is from RefSeq and is a predicted model, not a curated record.